Molecule: ribosomal RNA, 483 nt
Filed under: uncultured bacterium
Lineage: Bacteria
Description: partial 16S ribosomal RNA
Rfam family: Bacterial small subunit ribosomal RNA
Source: RNAcentral
GACGAACGCUGGCGGCGUGCUUAACACAUGCAAGUCGAACGCUGAAGCUCAGCUUUUGUUGGGUGGAUGAGUGGCGAACGGGUGAGUAACACGUGAGUAACCUGCCUCCUUCUUUGGGAUAACGCCCGGAAACGGGUGCUAAUACUGGAUAUUCACUGGUCUUCGCAUGGGGGUUGGUGGAAAGGGUUUUUCUGGUGGGGGAUGGGCUCGCGGCCUAUCAGCUUGUUGGUGGGGUGAUGGCCUACCAAGGCUUUGACGGGUAGCCGGCCUGAGAGGGUGACCGGUCACAUUGCGACUGAGAUACGGCCCAGACUCCUGCGGGAGGCCGCAGUGGGGAAUAUUGCACAAUAGGCGCAAGCAUGAUGCAGCGACGCAGCGUGAGGGAUGGAGGCCUUCGGGUUGUGAACCUCUUUGGCUCAUGGUCAAGCCGCAACAAUGGUUGUGGUGAGGGUAGUGGGUAAAGAAGCGCCGGCUAACUACGUG